GCGCAGGCGCAGAUUGUGGGCGGCCAAGUCAGUUGACCCAAAGGGUCUCGGAGCCCAGUUAAGCUGGUCGCCUCAGCUUCAGAACUGCAGCCGCCAUGGCCAGUCAGUCGCAGGGGAUCCAGCAGCUACUGCAGGCCGAGAAGCGGGCCGCAGAGAAGGUGUCUGAGGCCCGCAAGCGAAAGAACCGGAGGCUGAAGCAGGCCAAAGAAGAGGCUCAGGCUGAAAUUGAACACUACCGCCUGCGGAGAGAGAAGGAGUUCAAGGCCAAGGAAGCUGCCGCACUGGGCUCUCAUGGCAGUUGCAGCACUGAAGUGGAGAAGGAGACCCAGGAGAAGAUGACCAUCCUCCAGACCUACUUCCGUCAGAACAGAGAUGAAGUCUUGGAAAACCUCUUGGCCUUUGUCUGCGACAUCCGGCCAGAAAUCCAUGAAAACUACCGCAUAAAUGGAUAGGAGAAGAAGAUAGAAGUGCCUGUUCCAUGAAUUGGCAUUUUAGAUGUCCACAUGGAAUAAGCAGCUUUGGCAAAACUCAAGUUAUAUUCUUAUGAUAUGCAUUAAAUUAUUUCUGUAUAUUAUAUAGUAGAUCCCUUCAUUUUUUGGAGAGUAGCAAAUCUAGCUUCUUUGUACAGACUUAGAGCUCAUCUAAAGAUUUCAUCUUUUUACCUCAUAUUUCUUAGAAAUUUAAUAGGUAUACAUUAUCUGUUUUCCUAUCCCUUUUAGCUCAAUUACCAUAUAUAUCAAUGUUGACUUUUUCUUUCUUAGAUCUAGU
Non-coding RNA from Microcebus murinus (gray mouse lemur), 768 nucleotides. NCBI's taxonomy places the organism in Eukaryota, Metazoa, Chordata, Mammalia, Primates, Cheirogaleidae. The record is from RefSeq and is a predicted model, not a curated record.